Molecule: transfer RNA, 71 nt
Filed under: Mus musculus (house mouse)
Lineage: Eukaryota; Metazoa; Chordata; Mammalia; Rodentia; Muridae
Also listed under: 1 other name
Rfam family: tRNA
About the family: Transfer RNA (tRNA) molecules are approximately 80 nucleotides in length. Their secondary structure includes four short double-helical elements and three loops (D, anti-codon, and T loops).
Source: Rfam by way of RNAcentral
GAGAAUAUAGCUUAGUUGGUAGAGUGUUUGCCUAGCAUUCAAGAAACCAGGGUUCAAUCCCAGUACUUUAU